Rhagoletis zephyria (snowberry fruit fly) is the source of this 173-nucleotide long non-coding RNA. RefSeq lists it as uncharacterized. NCBI's taxonomy places the organism in Eukaryota, Metazoa, Arthropoda, Insecta, Diptera, Tephritidae. The record is from RefSeq and is a predicted model, not a curated record.
CAUAAUACAAAUUAAAUAUAAAUUUAAAAGAGCGUUUUCUAACACGCGCAAAAAACGACGCACUUUUGUACAAUAUAGAAAAGUGGCAACUGUUACUCAGCGCGAUUCACGAAUACCAUGACAAAAUGAGACUGUAUUGGUGUGCCCAUCUAUGCUUUACAGGAAGACCCCUA